CCUGGGCAUGGUGGUGGGCGCCUGUAAUUCCAACUACUCAGGAGGCUGAGGCAGGAGAAUCACUUGAAUUUGGGAGACGGAGGUUGCAGUGAACUGAGAUUGCGCCAUUGCACUGCAGCCUGGGCGACAAGAGCGAAAUUCCAUCUUGAAAAAAUAAAAAUUUUGUAUCUUUUUUUUUUUUUUUUACAAAAUGUUUUACAAAAUUUUUAUUUUUUCAAGAUGGAAUUUCGCUCUUGUCGCCCAGGCUGCAGUGCAAUGGCGCAAUCUCAGUCCACUGCAACCUCCGUCUCCCAAAUUCAAGUGAUUCUCCUGCCUC
This 316-nucleotide signal recognition particle RNA is filed under the name Macaca fascicularis (crab-eating macaque). Its description in RNAcentral is "Metazoan signal recognition particle RNA (ENSMFAG00000048765.1)". It matches the Rfam family "Metazoan signal recognition particle RNA". Rfam says of the family: The signal recognition particle (SRP) is a universally conserved ribonucleoprotein. It is involved in the co-translational targeting of proteins to membranes. Lineage: Eukaryota; Metazoa; Chordata; Mammalia; Primates; Cercopithecidae. The record is from RNAcentral.